AUUGAACGCUGGCGGAAUGCUUUACACAUGCAAGUCGAACGGUAGAGGGGGCAACCCCUCGAGAGUGGCGAACGGGUGAGUAAUAUAUCGGAACGUGCCCAGUCGUGGGGGAUAACGUAGCGAAAGUUACGCUAAUACCGCAUACGAUCUAAGGAUGAAAGCGGGGGAUCGCAAGACCUCGCGCGAUUGGAGCGGCCGAUAUCAGAUUAGGUAGUUGGUGGGGUAAAGGCUCACCAAGCCAACGAUCUGUAGCUGGUCUGAGAGGACGACCAGCCACACGGGAACUGAGACACGGUCCAGACUCCUACGGGAGGCAGCAGUGGGGAAUUUUGGACAAUGGACGCAAGUCUGAUCCAGCCAUUCCGCGUGCAGGAUGCAGGCCCUCGGGUUGUAAACUGCUUUUGUACGGAACGAAAAGGUCUCUCUUAAUACGGGGGACUCAUGACGGUACCGUAAGAAUAAGCACCGGCUAACUACGUGCCAGCAGCCGCAGUAC
Molecule: ribosomal RNA, 496 nt
Filed under: uncultured bacterium
Lineage: Bacteria
Description: partial 16S ribosomal RNA
Rfam family: Bacterial small subunit ribosomal RNA
Source: RNAcentral